Ictalurus punctatus (channel catfish) is the source of this 4489-nucleotide long non-coding RNA. RefSeq lists it as uncharacterized. The transcript has 6 exons. Lineage: Eukaryota; Metazoa; Chordata; Actinopteri; Siluriformes; Ictaluridae. The record is from RefSeq and is a predicted model, not a curated record.
AGGCUUUAUUUCUUGAACACAAGUCAAACAUAAAACGAAGUCUAAACAUUAAACUGGAAUUGUAGCAUGAAACGAGAACAGGACAUGGAACCUUAACCUUAAAAUCUAUACACUCCAUUACAGCUUUACUCGUUACCACACUUAAUACUGCGCAACAUGCACAGCAACACAUGGGGUUUAACUAACAAAUGCAAUCAAACAUGAACUCAGGCAGCUGGAAACAAUUAAAACCCACCUUUGCACCUCCGCCAAUAACUGAACAGGGAUGGGACAGAACAGAAACCAAAACAAGUGCACGUGUCCAUUGUAAAUAAAAGUCCCUAUCGUCCAAGCGCACUCACAGUGCGUGCAUGUGCACGUCCUCCGGCUCUCCGUGCACGUCGCAUGCCACAGCGCCAUCUGCAGUGGAGAUUGUGACAUAUGUAUGUGUGUGUGUAUGUGUGUGUGUGUAUAUGUGUAUGCAAACUUAAUGACUUAAAAGACUCAAUGAAUUAAGAAUUAAGCCAAAAUGAUUUUACUUGUGAAACUGAAUUACUGUGUACUAUCAAACAUCCUUUGACGCAAAUAAUGAACCUUUUAAAAACUUAAACUUAAAAGCACUUAAUAGUGACAAGCAACUAUCUGUCUUCAAACCAAGACAUGAGUGCAAACACCAUCAAGCCCGAUUUCCAAAAUAGCAGAGAUGACUUCUCAAAGCACGAGUAGGAAAACAAGGGUGUGUGGCCUAGAAAAAAAUACUUGAAUUUGUGAAAGUAAAUUUAAACAAUGCAAUCAGUCUUUUGUGUAUAACACAGCAUGUGGGCAUAUUUUGUUUUUUCUGACAUUCCACUUAUCAGGUCGUCGUACAUCUCCCAGACAAAUGGAGACCUCCUGUAGUAGGCCACAUAAUGUCCAAGAGCAUCCUGGGUUAAGCCUCCUCUGAAAGCAUUGACUGCCCUUAAAGUAAAUCUCUCUCCUUGGAGCAUCAGAUUGGAGGGAAAUUCACACAAAGAAAAUUCUGUGGACGUGCUUCACAGGUCAGUGUCAAUCCACAGAAGUUCUCCCAGAUUGUAACCGUGAUAAACUUUCCCUGCACAGAGCACUUUUCCUGAGGUAGAGUCUGUCUUGACUGCAGAGGGACACUCUUACGGACUUUGGAUUGGCCUGAGGCAGGGGGACUCCACAAGGUUAAGGCCUUCUUCCUCUGCGGUCUGAAGAUGAGUCAUGCCAGAAGUCUGCAGUACAGCAACAGAAAUAUAAACAAAUGGAAUUUCCCUUGUGACUUCUGUGCUGAGACUGCAAUACUGUGAGGAACACUGUUGUGUGAAGGAAACACAUGCAGGUUGUGUCAUUGACUUUUCAAUGAUAGUGGAGAUGUGGCACUGUGCAUCGAUUUGGAGAGUUUGAUUUGGAUUGUUUUCACAAGCUGGAGGAGGUUUUUGGAGUCCUCACCGCAAACAAUAUUUCCAAAAGUUACACUAUAAGCAUAACAUAAGAAAAAGCAUUGACAAAAACAGAACAGAGAUUCUUGAUUUCCUGAGUUUAACAGGCUGUUGAUUAUUUCCAUUUUUCAAUAGUUCCACUUUCACUCUUUUCCCCCUCACGGAUGGAUCUGCAUGGAGCCAUUCAGGACAAGGAGAGAGGUAUGACUUCCUCUUCCUCUUUUUGGAUGGAACCGCUAGGCCUCUCCAGUUUUCAACAGCGUCUUCAUCUGUUGGAUGGAUGUUUGUGACCGUGUCAGAGUUCCCAGAACAGGAAGCAUCCAUUUCUGCUUUUCCAUCUACACUGCAAGUUGUGAAAAAAAUAGCAUAUUGCCCUGAAUGAAGGACAGAUGUCGAGCAAUGAAUCGAUCCACCCGAAUAGGCAAGUUGUCAUGCUUGAAGAGCCCACGUUUGAUGUUUUUGAACUCUGCUUGAACACUGGCUGAACUUGCGGUGAUGUUGGUGCUUCGGAAGUGAGGGCUCAUUACCCCGUCCAGAGUAGUCUGUCUGUGUUUGGUCAAAUGGAUCCACUUCUUCCAGGUCCUGACCCUCUACAUCUGGAAUGAUUACACACUCUUCUGCAAUUCGGGCUUUCAGCAGUCCCACUGGCAGAUCGUGUUGAUGCAGUGUACAACAUCAACCCGAACAAAACAAGGUGGCACUUUUGCUGACACUUUACCGACAUUUGCACCACUGGGACACUUGAACUCUCAUCCCCUGCCAGAACACCCUGAUAUAAGAAGAUAUAUGCCAUUUGGUCUCUGUAGUUUCCUCACCACUGAGCCAGUUACAUCAAAACUCACAGUGGGGGUGGCCAAAUUAGGAAGAUGGCUUGGCUCAGGAUCUCCAAAAUCCAUCAGCUUUGUUCCCUCUGAUGCCCUCCAUACAUGGGGUUCCAUUCUACCCUCGCACAGUGUUAUGACCCCGGUCUAGGGUCGAGGUGUAACAUAAAAGAAAGUAUAAACAAAAACAAAAAUGAGGUAACACACGUCUUUCAAAUCUUUGAUAUCUACAAAUUUAAUGAUUACAAGAAAGAAAGAAAGAAAGAAAGAAAAAGAAAGAAUCAAUCCAAAACAAACAAUCACCAAGAAAACUAAUCUCUUCAGGGCUGGGCAAGGCCAAAAUAAUAAACAGAACAGUCACUAUCUUGUCCCAUAUUUAAAUUACCUAACAAAAAAAGGUAUUUCAAAAGAAAAUACAGAGUCUAACCUGACUCCCUAACUGAGGAAAAAACAGUGAACAAAAGAUACACCCAAAAAUAAACAGCACCCAACCCCUCCCACUUUCGUGAUGAGUAGAGAAGAAAUAUUUACAAUGAAAGAUAUAUUUACAAUAAAGGCGUACACUCAGCCACAACAAAAGACAAAACAGGGGAAUGGGACAACACAAUAUCCUACCACUCACUUCUUUUAUUCACCCACAAUACAACAAGCAAGCGAUUUCACUCAAACACAGGGAAAAAUAUUCGCUACUCAAUAGUAUGCACUCAAUCACAGACACACCACAUAUCCACAUUCCUCCUGACAUAUCGUUCUUCCACUUUUUAAACAACGCACAAUCUUCUCCUCUCCAAUCCCAGUGCAGCACGUCAGCAUGUUGAAUUAGGGCGCAGCGACCUGUGAGAGCGAAACAGGGGGAGGGAGAGAGAGCGAGAAAGAGAGAGAGAGCACACACACACAAUACAUCUCCUGACGUUACACACAGUUCUUUGGCUAUCUGCACACGCAAGUUACCAGACAUCGCACACUUGGAACAGCCAGUGUGCAGGGAGUCAUCAGUGUUUUUAAUUAAACAAUUGAGCACCACUGGGCUUUUCAUUUCGGGGUCUCUAUCACAUUUUAUGUGAAUGUGGCCAUGACAUUCCUUACAGUUGCCUCUGAUUUCUAUUAAUUUCUCUGUGGCUGAUGGAUAGAUCUUGGCUCUUUUAAAGAUAAAUGUGCAGGGUCUUUUUGCUUCUUCCCUAAUAUGAUGAUUUAUCACAUGUGGCAAGAUGCUAGGCUUCAAAAUUGUGUAUUCCCUUUUUUGUGCUUUAGAGAACUUGUUUUUGCAUUGAACUGUUUCGGGCAUGAAUUAAAUCAAUUUCUGAAAUGGAACUUGAAGAUCAAAAGUCCAGCAGUCUUUUGGUCUGGGGGAAAGGGACCCUGCCUCAAAAUCAGUGUCAUCACUACUGCCACUUGUUUCAUGAUCACUUUCAUAAAUAAACCCUAAAGCAUUCCAGAUGUUGUGUCUGUUCAUUUUAACAAAAGUAUAUAGAGCCUUUGCAGUGAUCUUGUUUUCUAGCUGCUCACUAAGCUCUGUCCAGAUGCUCUGAUUAGGAGUAGCUAUGUUGCCAUUUUGGACUAUGGCCUCUUUUGAUGAACAGAGGACUGUGAAGAUGGAAUCCCUGUCGACUGCUGGUUUCUUGGGCAUCUGGCAUAAGCAAAACAUAAAUACCCACUGAAAUAAUCCUGACGCAAAAAAUGUCAUAUACAGUAUAAACUUGUUUUCAUGUAUUACUGUAUUUGACAGAAUACAAGGAAAAUAUAAUAUAGUAAAAAUAUAUAAGGAUAUUAUACCUUAUAUUAGGACCAAUAUGGUAAUGUUGACCCCUAGAUACACAACAUAUUAAAAAAAACUAACAUGGGUACCAUGUAACAUGUAUCAUGGGUACCAUGUACCAUGUAAUUAGCAUUUCAUAGCUACAUUAGCCAUAUUAGUAUUAGCAAUGAGUUUUCUGUUCAAUAAACAUUGACAAUCUUAGCUCUCUUGAAUGUUGUACCAUUAUGAUUGAAGUUAACUAAUAAUAUUGUAACUGACAGUGAUAAAACAUUGUACUUACACUGGCCAGAAUUUUGAUUCAGUAACUAUAUCAACUUUUCCAAUACUAACAACACUAAUUUCCAUGAGAGCAUCUUGAACAGAAGUGUCACUUACACCUAGUGGUGGCAGUGAAGUGUAGUAGAUGAUUCUCCCUGUAAAUAAUCAAAAGUUCAAUCAUGAGAGACCAGUGAAUGAAGUAAAGAGAAUUGUUUAUUGAACAAAUUAUGAUA